UCUAGGGUUGGCUUCUUCUUCUUCUGCUGCUGCUGUUCAAAAUAAUUGUAACAGAUCUAAAAAUGCAGUAGAAGUUGGGGUUGAUGUUGAUUAUAGUCAAUAGAUUAGACCGACACUAAAGAAGAACUUGAAACAUCUGUCCAAGAACUAGUUAAACCUGCUGUUGAAGGAGUAGAGGAACCUCUUAGUCAAGAAGAAAAGGUCAGAGAUAGUGAUGGUUAUGAUAAUGAUUUUGACUAAUCGAUUGACUAUGAAAGUGAUGUGCAUUAUGAGUUGAGGAUAGAGAAGGCAAAUAUGAGAAAGUUUAAGAGAGAAAAUAGGAGGAACAAGAAGAAAGAAAAAGAAAAGGGCUUUUUGGGUGAAGUUAGACUGGAUGUUUGGUUUCAUGAUAUUGAUAAAGGUAAGAAAAAUUACAAGGAAAAAUUGAUAGAAGAUGAGCCAUAUUAUGAUAGUUUUGAUUAUGAUAGUUUUCAAAGUGAUGAUGAUUUGUUGCCUAUUUCUGAUGAUGAAUUUGAGGGAGGAAAGUUAAGUGGAAGAAAAAAAAAAAGCACUUCAAUGGUAUAUGAUCCAACUUGUGAAGUGAUUGUGUGGCAUCUAGGUUUAGUAUUUGAGAAUACAAAUGAGAUUAGGGAAGCAGUUACUAAAUAUGCUAUUAAGAAAGGGGUUGAGUUAGACAAAUAUGUGAAUGAGAGUUAUAGGAUAAGAGUUAGAUAUAAAGGUGGUUGUCCAUGAUUGUUGUAUGCUAGCAAGGAAGGAAAGAGUGGAAACUUUUCUAUCAAGACCUACACUCUAAGGCACAAAUGUACUAGGACAACUACUAAUUUUCUUUGUAAUUUAAAAUUUCUGUCGAAUUAUCUUAAAGAUAGAAUUAUAUCCCAGCCAACAAUCAAAGGGUGGGAGAUUCAAGAAUUGAUUAGGAAAGAGUUGGGUGUUUAUAUUGGCAAGACAGUGUGUUUAAAGACAAGAAAGUUGAUUUUGAAAAAAUUAUGGGGGAUCAUGUGGCUGAAUUUAACAGAAUUUUAGACUACAAGAAUAUAUUGCUCCAAAAAAAAUUCUGGUAGUACUUGUGUUGUGAAGCUGACUAAUUUAGAUAGUGGGAUGAAAAAAUUUCACUCUUUCUACAUUUGUUUUGAUGCUAUAAAAAAAAAUUUCAGGAGUGAUGUAAAAAGUGUAUUGGACUAGAUGGGUGUUUUUUGAAAAGAGUUUGUAAAGGUCAGCUAUUGGUAGCCAUUGCUAAGGAUGGAAACAAUCAAAUAUUUCCAAUAGCAUAGGUAGGGAUUGGCAAAGAAAGUAAGGCUACAUGGAGAUAGUUCUUGAUGAUAUUACAAGAUGAUCAUAACUUAGGAGAUGGUUCCCAGCUCACUAUUAUCAGUGAUAUGCAAAAGGUAACUAUAUUUAUUAGUAAAUUAUUUUUCAUUAAGUUAGGCCAAAAUUAACUAACUUCAUUUGUUUGUUUUGAAACUGUAGGGACUAGUUGCUGCUGCAGAACAAAUAGUUCCUGAAUAUGAGCAUAGAAUAUGUGCUAGACACAUCUUAGCUAAUUGGUCAAAGAAAUGAAGAGGCAUAGAGAGAAGGAAGAAAUUUUAGGCUUGUGCUCGAUCAACUUUUGAGGCAUAAUUUAAGUAUAACCUUGAAGCUCUUUCUAAAUUGGGUAGAGGUAUUAUUGAAGAUCUGAUAGAUUAAAACAAAGAGAGAUGGUGCAAGGCUUACUUCAAAACCUUUUUCAAGUGUGAUAGUAUGGAUAACAUAAUGUCCGAGAGUUUUAAUGCUUGAGUUUUGAUUCCUAGGAACAAGACAAUUAUUUUAAUGUUGGAAGAAAUCAGGAUAAAAGUGAUGACAAGGGUAAGUAGAGCAAGAAAAUUUGCAGAUUCUUGGACAGAUGACAUAUCUCCAAUGAAAAUGAUGGUGUUCAAUGCAAAUGCAGAAAAAUCAGUGCAGUGCAACAUUGACUGGAAUGGUGAUCAAGGAUUUAAAAUGACUGAAGGGGCAUACAAACAUACUGUGAAUUUGAGGUAAAUAAAUGUAGUUGCAGAUCAUGGGAACUAAAAGAAAUUUCCUGUGCACAUGGUAUAACAGGAAUGAACUACUUAAAUUUGAAUGCAUCACAGGUAAUUUCUAGCUGAUAUAGAAACGAAGCAUAUUUGAAGGCCUAUUCUUACUUUAUUCAGCCAGUUCCAAAUAUGAAAAUGUGGCCAGAUUGCAGGAAUCCUAUGGUUGAGCCACCUGAAGUGACACAAAUGCCUAGUAGGCCAUCAAAGAAAAGAAAGAAAAAAAUUGGUGAAGUGAAAAAAAUUGAAAAAUUGCCAAAAUUUGGGGUAACAAUGAGAUGUUGAAUCUGCAAACAAUCAAAUCAUAACAAGAGGGGAUGUCCACAUAAUCCCAAUUGUAAAUUCAAAUCAGUCACAAAAGAGAGGAAAAAAAACAGCGCAAUCAACAUGGAUGAAACUGAUGAAAAGUGUGGUAACAAGAGGCCAAGAGUUGUGGGUCAAGCUAUCUUUGUUUCUAAAUUUAGAUACACUUAUGUUAAUCAAGAAUUGGCUAGUAGUAGAAAGGUUAAUACAGGCAUAAUGAGUUCGGCACAUGUGACUGAUGAGAGUGGUUAUCAACCAACAAAAAACUGAAGUGGGAAAAUUUACGUGCUAUUACUCAAAGGCAUCUUCAAGUUCAAACAAGAUCAAAAGCUGUUGGAAUUAAGACAAGGGCCCAAUUAUUAGGGAAAUCUCCAACAACAACAAAGAGUACCAAGGCAAAGACUUCAUCAAAGAAAAAUGCAAAGGGCAAGGGAAAAAGUUCUGUUGAUGGUGGUUGUUAGUUGUUGACAUCUCUUAAUUGUUCUACUGUUGGUAUCAUAACCAAAUGAUUGAACUAGUCUUUAUUUAUGUGUUUUGACAUUCUCAUAUUUUGAAGUGCCCGACUUGAUUUUGGUUGAAACA
Molecule: long non-coding RNA, 2933 nt
Organism: Capsicum annuum
Lineage: Eukaryota; Viridiplantae; Streptophyta; Magnoliopsida; Solanales; Solanaceae
Exons: 3
Source: RefSeq, a predicted model, not a curated record